Molecule: RNA transcript, 3622 nt
Organism: Arachis ipaensis
Lineage: Eukaryota; Viridiplantae; Streptophyta; Magnoliopsida; Fabales; Fabaceae
Source: RefSeq, a predicted model, not a curated record
ACCCUAAGCCACUAAUCCGAGACUCUCAGUGCCGUGGACCCACCCCCAACCCCAACCGGCUUCGCUCUCUGCUCUCUCGAGCUCGGCGUCGACAUUUGGCAGCCCCUUACCCUCACCUCGCCACUCUCUCGAGUUCGGCGUCAGCAACCCCUCACCCUUACCUUGCCAUCUCUCGUCGCUCCCCUCAUCCGUCAGUCGUCAGUUCGUGACUCUCAGUCUCUGGGUCUCUCACCUCGUCUCUCUCUCGGUCUUUCAUCGUGACCCUGCGUAGUGCGUUCGCUUCGUCGGAACCAGUGAAGCAAUAUCUGCUCCCUCGGGUGCUGGUGGUGGUCGUCUAAUCAACCAGGUGAGCUCCAGUUUUCGAUCCUGUUCUUUCUCUAGUUCAAUGUUGAUUUCGGUGAAUCUGGUGGUUGUUGAAUGUGGGUGUUGCUGUUUUAUUUAGUUUUUAGAGUUGUUGUUGCUGUUCUUUCUCUGGUUCAAUGUUAAUUUCGGUGAACCUGAUGAAAUUUUAGAGUUGUUGCUGUUCUUUCUGUUUGUUGAAUAUUGAUUUUUUAGAGUUGUUGUUGGUGAAUCUGAGCAAAUUUUAGUUAGAAUUGUUGUUGAAUCUGAUAGUUGCUGCUGUUGUAUUUGGUUUUUUAGAGUUGAUGUUGAACCUGAGAAAAUUUUAGUGAACUUUGGUUAAAUAGUUAAAUUUUUUGUUAAUUAUCAUUAGUGAACUUUGGUGGUGUUGCUGUUGUAUUUGGUUUUAGAGUUGUUGAAUUGGAGAGAAUUUGAGUUAAAAACUUAGAAUUGUUAUUGAGUCUGGUUAAUGUUGCUUUUGUAUUUGAUUUUAGAGUUGUUGAACUUGAGAAAAUUUGAGUUAGAAUUGUUAUUGAAAACAUAAGAACUUAUUUAGCCUAGUAUAAAAACUUAGAAUUAACUUUUUUUUGGAACAAAACCACAGAAUUAUUUUUAUAGAUAUUAAGAACUUAUUUAGCCUAGUAUAAAUGAAGUUUGAAUGAUAUCUCCUAUGUACACAGCACAAGAAGUUGAGCUUAUAAUAACUAUCAUUUAUUUUUUCUAUCUUAUAAGAUCAGAAACUAAUUGUAAUACGCUUAAAUUACUACUGUAACUUAAUACUAAAACAUAAAUUGUUGUGUGGAACCGUAAAAUGAGCAUAAGCAUCUAGUAAUAAAUGAUUAAAUAAAAGUUACAUCUUUAUGAAACUUCUUUAACUUUAAAAACAUAUCCCUUAAUAGUAAUAAUUGUGGUCUUGUACUGUUUUGUCGGUUUCCACAAGAAAAUGUUUCAGUAGUCACGAAUCUUUGGUAAGAGUCUUAUUAAGACACAUGGUUUUGACUAAUUCACAAGAUCUCCGGCACAACUUGCACAAGAAAAUGUCUCCCUAGCUAACAUCAUGCUCUUAUUUUUUGCAUCACUUUCUUUGACUUAUUAUUAUUAUUAUUAUUAUUAUUAUUAUUAUGAUUAUUAACAACAAUGAAAAUCAUGUUCUAAGGCGAUGCAUACAAUGUUCAAUUUAAUUAGUGCAGAGAAUCAAAUAAAAUUUGGUAACUAAAAUGAUAGGUUUUAGUUCUCAUCAAAAGCAUUCAAGCACCAAACAUAAUUUCACUGCUAACUAAAACAUCACAGCAUUGAAAAUUUGAAAUUGAACAAAGAAUUAACAUAUUAUGCAGUAACAGCACUAGCUGUGCAGAAAAUCUUGCUUACUUUUUCUCUUUAAUAUGAUCAAUUACAUCAAUAUAUCAGUCACCAAAACUUCACUAUACAUAAAUAAUAAAAUAUAAAAUAAGAAAGUUUGAAUAUGAAACAAACACCAGAAGACACAACUCAAAAGAAAGAAAAACAAAAAAGAUUGGAUCCAAAUUCCAAAAACAAUUGGUUUCCAAGAACAAUAUAGUUAAAUGUUACCAAAAUACUAUUAUGAUGAAAACUAGUAGCAGCAAAUUGGGCAUCUAAUUAGUCCAUUUUCAUUCCAAUCAGGGCAACGCUUGAAUCCACAAUCACCAACCUCAUCACUAUCUUGUUCUUGUUCUUCAUCACCAUCAUCAUCAUAUUCAUAGCCUUCAUCAUAGUAGAUUUUGCAGCUUCCUCAUAACAGCUUCCAUUUGUUGAGACACUUCACAAAUGGCAAGGAGUUGGUAAAGUAUGCAGUCACCCGAUUUGCCACUUCAUUUCUCUCUUUAGAAAGGCUUUAUAAGGAGAAAGGAAAUAUGAGAAGCAUGUUCACCUCGGAUAAAUGGGUAAAGAAUAAGUUGUAAAAGGAGGUAAAUGGGAGGGAGGCAACAAAGAUUGUUAUCAUGCCCUCCUUUUGGAAUCAUGUCAAGUACACCCUUAAGAUCAUGGGCCCUCUUGUUCGGGUGCUUAGACUUGUUGAUUGGGAGAAGAAGCCACCAACGGAAUAUAUUUAUGAAGCAAUGGAGAAGACAAAGGAAUGCAUCAUAAAAACAUUUCUUAAUGAUGAAAGCAAGUACAAUGAUGUUUUUAAAAUCAUUGACAAUAGAAGAAAUUGCCAACUUCAUCGUCUGUUGCAUGCAGCUGGUCAUUUUCUAAAUUCCGAGUUGUUUUAUGACAAUCCUUGCAUUGAGAUGGAUUUAGAAGUUACAAAGGGAUGGUUUGAGUGCAUCAUUAGAUUGGUGUCAAGUCAAGCUAUGCAAUAGAAGAUAUUGGAGGAGCAAGCACUAUACAAGACCGGCUAUGGACUUUUUAGAUCAGAUUUUGCAAAAUGUCAAAGAAAAAAGAUUUCAUCCGCAUUUUGGUGGCAGACAUAUGGGCAUGAAGCUCCAAACAUGCGAGACCUUGCUAUCAAGAGCUUGAGCUUGACUUGUAGUGCUUCAGGAUGUGAGCGCAAUUAGAGUAUAUUUGAGCAUAUUCAUACUAAAAAAAGAAAUAGACUUGAUCAUGAAAGGAUGGAGAGUUUGGUCUUCAUAAAGUAUAACCAACAGCUCAUAGAAAGGUACAACCUUAAAGAUGAAGUUGACCAUAUUGCACUUAAUGACAUUGAUGAGUGUAAUGAGUGGUUAGUUGGAGAAAUUAGGAUUGACACCUUUUGAGAUGCUAAUAAUUAAUGUGGAUGAUGAUGCUGAUUUAGUUCAUCAAGAUGACAACACUUUGAGUUGGAACCUUGUGUUUGAAGCAAUGGGAGGACAUGAGCCUACGACAAAUACUAGGAGAAGACAACAAAAUAGGAAAAGAAAGGAACCUGCAACUACAAGGGGUGGUGCAAGUAGUGGACCAAGUCAGUCUAAGGCUUCAAAAAAAGGAAAAGGAAAGACAGUAAUUGUGGAGGAGGAAGAAGAACCAGAAUUUGAAGAUGAAGAGGAUUCUGAAAAAGAAGAAGAACAUGAAGAGGAGAUUCAAUUUAAUGAUACUGAAUCAAAGGAUGAUGAGGGGGCAAAGGGACACGAUAAUAAUCAUGUUAUUGGAUGAAUUUGAUGAGAGCUAGAAUGUAGAUGGUUCAUAGUUUUUAUGUUUUGUGUCUUUUAUUUUACGGCUUGCUUAUGACUUUUGAGUUAUGAUUUGCACUUGAUGUUAUGUUUAUUUGCUAUAUUUGCUACUAUAUUUGCUACAUUAAUUGGAUGUUUAUGAUUAGAAAGUUGCUUAUAUAGAUAGAUUUUAUAAUUUA